GCGGCAAGCCUAACACAUGCAAGUCGAGCGGCAGCGGGAGGAAGCUUGCUUCCUUGCCGGCGAGCGGCGGACGGUUGAGUAAGGUAUGGGGAUCUGGCCGAAGGCGGGGGAUAACCACUGGAAACGGUGGCUAAUACCGCAUAAUCUCUAAGGAGCAAAGUGGGGGACCGUUCUGGCCUCACACCUUCGGAUGAACCCAUAUGAGAUUAGCUAGUAGGUGGGGUAAUGGCUCACCUAGGCGACGAUCUCUAGCUGGUCUGAGAGGAUGAUCAGCCACACUGGGACUGAGACACGGCCCAGACUCCUACGGGAGGCAGCAGUGGGGAAUAUUGCACAAUGGGCGCAAGCCUGAUGCAGCCAUGCCGCGUGUAUGAAGAAGGCCUUCGGGUUGUAAAGUACUUUCAGUCGUGAGGAAGGUGUUAAGGUUAAUAACCUUAGCAAUUGACGUUAGCGACAGAAGAAGCACCGGCUAACUCCGUGCCAGCAGCCGCGGUAAUACGGAGGGUGCGAGCAUUAAUCGGAAUUACUGGGCGUAAAGGGCACGCAGGCGGUUAAUUAAGUUGGAUGUGAAAUCCCCGGGCUUAACCUGGGAAUGGCAUUCAAGACUGGUUAGCUAGAGUCUUGUAGAGGGGGGUAGAAUUCCAUGUGUAGCGGUGAAAUGCGUAGAGAUGUGGAGGAAUACCGGUGGCGAAGGCGGCCCCCUGGACAAGGACUGACGCUCAUGUGCGAAAGCGUGGGGAGCAAACAGGAUUAGAUACCCUGGUAGUCCACGCUGUAAACGAUGUCGAUUUGGAGGUUGUGGUCAUGAACUGUGGCCUCCGGAGCUAACGCGUUAAAUCGACCGCCUGGGGAGUACGGCCGCGAGGUUAAAACUCAAAUGAAUUGACGGGGGCCCGCACAAGCGGUGGAGCAUGUGGUUUAAUUCGAUGCAACGCGAAGAACCUUACCUACUCUUGACAUCCAGCGAAUCCUUUAGAGAUAGAGGAGUGCCUUCGGGAACGCUGAGACAGGUGCUGCAUGGCUGUCGUCAGCUCGUGUUGAGAAAUGUUGGGUUAAG
Molecule: ribosomal RNA, 1057 nt
Filed under: Arsenophonus symbiont of Ornithomya biloba
Lineage: Bacteria; Pseudomonadati; Pseudomonadota; Gammaproteobacteria; Enterobacterales; Morganellaceae
Description: bacterial SSU rRNA
Rfam family: Bacterial small subunit ribosomal RNA
Source: RNAcentral